ACUUAAAUUGAAGAGUUUGAUCAUGGCUCAGAUUGAACGCUGGCGGCAGGCCUAACACAUGCAAGUCGAGCGGUAGCACAGAGAGCUUGCUCUCGGGUGACGAGCGGCGGACGGGUGAGUAAUGUCUGGGAAACUGCCUGAUGGAGGGGGAUAACUACUGGAAACGGUAGCUAAUACCGCAUAACGUCGCAAGACCAAAGUGGGGGACCUUCGGGCCUCAUGCCAUCAGAUGUGCCCAGAUGGGAUUAGCUAGUAGGUGGGGUAACGGCUCACCUAGGCGACGAUCCCUAGCUGGUCUGAGAGGAUGACCAGCCACACUGGAACUGAGACACGGUCCAGACUCCUACGGGAGGCAGCAGUGGGGAAUAUUGCACAAUGGGCGCAAGCCUGAUGCAGCCAUGCCGCGUGUGUGAAGAAGGCCUUCGGGUUGUAAAGCACUUUCAGCGGGGAGGAAGGCGGUGAGGUUAAUAACCUCACCGAUUGACGUUACCCGCAGAAGAAGCACCGGCUAACUCCGUGCCAGCAGCCGCGGUAAUACGGAGGGUGCAAGCGUUAAUCGGAAUUACUGGGCGUAAAGCGCACGCAGGCGGUCUGUCAAGUCGGAUGUGAAAUCCCCGGGCUCAACCUGGGAACUGCAUUCGAAACUGGCAGGCUAGAGUCUUGUAGAGGGGGGUAGAAUUCCAGGUGUAGCGGUGAAAUGCGUAGAGAUCUGGAGGAAUACCGGUGGCGAAGGCGGCCCCCUGGACAAAGACUGACGCUCAGGUGCGAAAGCGUGGGGAGCAAACAGGAUUAGAUACCCUGGUAGUCCACGCCGUAAACGAUGUCGAUUUGGAGGUUGUGCCCUUGAGGCGUGGCUUCCGGAGCUAACGCGUUAAAUCGACCGCCUGGGGAGUACGGCCGCAAGGUUAAAACUCAAAUGAAUUGACGGGGGCCCGCACAAGCGGUGGAGCAUGUGGUUUAAUUCGAUGCAACGCGAAGAACCUUACCUGGUCUUGACAUCCACAGAACUUAGCAGAGAUGCUUUGGUGCCUUCGGGAACUGUGAGACAGGUGCUGCAUGGCUGUCGUCAGCUCGUGUUGUGAAAUGUUGGGUUAAGUCCCGCAACGAGCGCAACCCUUAUCCUUUGUUGCCAGCGGUUAGGCCGGGAACUCAAAGGAGACUGCCAGUGAUAAACUGGAGGAAGGUGGGGAUGACGUCAAGUCAUCAUGGCCCUUACGACCAGGGCUACACACGUGCUACAAUGGCAUAUACAAAGAGAAGCGACCUCGCGAGAGCAAGCGGACCUCAUAAAGUAUGUCGUAGUCCGGAUUGGAGUCUGCAACUCGACUCCAUGAAGUCGGAAUCGCUAGUAAUCGUAGAUCAGAAUGCUACGGUGAAUACGUUCCCGGGCCUUGUACACACCGCCCGUCACACCAUGGGAGUGGGUUGCAAAAGAAGUAGGUAGCUUAACCUUCGGGAGGGCGCUUACCACUUUGUGAUUCAUGACUGGGGUGAAGUCGUAACAAGGUAACCGUAGGGGAACCUGCGGUUGGAUCACCUCCUUACCUUAAAGAA
This 1554-nucleotide ribosomal RNA is filed under the name Klebsiella pneumoniae. RNAcentral describes it as "bacterial SSU rRNA". It matches the Rfam family "Bacterial small subunit ribosomal RNA". Lineage: Bacteria; Pseudomonadati; Pseudomonadota; Gammaproteobacteria; Enterobacterales; Enterobacteriaceae. The record is from RNAcentral.